Molecule: unclassified non-coding RNA, 20 nt
Filed under: Dictyostelium discoideum
Lineage: Eukaryota; Evosea; Eumycetozoa; Dictyosteliales; Dictyosteliaceae
Source: RNAcentral
UCAGAGAUGAAUCACAAAUC